AACGAACGCUGGCGGCAUGCCUAACACAUGCAAGUCGAACGAGACCUUCGGGUCUAGUGGCGCACGGGUGCGUAACGCGUGGGAACCUGCCCUUAGGUUAGGAAUAACUCCCCGUAAGGGGUGCUAAUACCGGAUAAUGUCUUCGGACCAAAGAUUUAUCGCGUUUGGGUGGGCCCGCGUUGGAUUAGCUAGUUGGUAGGGUAAAAGCCUACCAAGGGGACGAUCCAUAGCUGGUCUGAGAGGAUGAUCAGUCACACUGGGACUGAGACACGGCCCAGACUGCUACGGGAGGCAGCAGUGGGGAAUAUUGGGCGAUGGGCGAAAGCGUGAUCCAGCAAUGCCGCGUGAGUGAUGAAGGGCGUAGGGUUGUAAAGCUCUUUUACCCGGGAUGAUAAUGACAGUACCGGGAAAAGAAGCACCGGCUAACUACGUG
This 433-nucleotide ribosomal RNA is filed under the name uncultured bacterium. RNAcentral describes it as "partial 16S ribosomal RNA". It matches the Rfam family "Bacterial small subunit ribosomal RNA", at positions 29 to 507 of the family's 1533-position model. The record is from RNAcentral.